GGCUGGCUGGGAGAAGCGCUGGUCAACAGGAACUGCAAAGAGAGCAUCCUCAAAACUCUCCCCAGACUGAUGCUAUCACAGGCACAAAGGUCCUCAGUGGAUAAUGAAAUUUUUCCUGAGAGCAGCAGUAUCAGGAUAAAAGUGUGGGGCUGUGGAUAGAGGGACAGGUCCCCAGCAGCCUGGCACAACCGUGGUAGGGACAAGUGAUCCUCUAUUCCCCACAGCCCCUCCUGCUCAGCUCAUGGCUAUGGGAAGGGAUCAGGUGUGGCAGAAGCACAAAAACACUGUGCCAAACAGAGGGGGACAUGGGAAAUCACAACAAAACUCACUGAGAGGUAUUGCAGAAAAGGGCAGUGAUGCCAUUGCACAAUCUGUGUGUUCAGCUCACCUGUGGCUCCGGAGCUGCUGUGUGUCCUCACCACGGCUCAGGGCUCCUCCGCUGCCCAGCUGGGGCUCUGUUUAUGUCCUUUGGAAGUGGACACUGCUUGAAGGUCGUCUCCCCAUUAUUUUACCUCAAACUUCAUCAGAAAGUUAGAGAAAACUCUUGAUUGAUUAACGUGUAUUUAUGACUCGGCUCCUGCAUUUUUCUGACACCUUACCCUUGCCCAGUAGGUUCCUCCUCCUCAUUUGAAUGGAAUCAUGCAUGAGAGUCCUGCAGCAGCUGGGUCACACCUUGGCUUUGAUCAUGGUUAACUCUUACUCCUCCGCUCUCCUCUCAUGCAUACACUUCUGUUCUCUCUUCCCUCUCACCAGUCCUAACACUUCCAUUUUGAGCUUCAGCAGGGCAAAGAGGUGAGAGAGAUGUUUCCAGUCUGCCCUGGAUCACACAGAGCGGAGGCAACUCGACCGGAGGUUUUACUGUGAUGGAACAGGAGGGUGGUCCUGAUGGGGGUCUCAGCAUUGUUCCCUAAUCUUUGCCGGGGGGUGCAGAGUAGGACAUCAGCAUGGCCCAGCUGGGGCAGCCAGCCAUUCCCUGCAUAUGACCCAGCUGUCAUGGGGCUGGUUGCGGUGGAAAGAUGUACUUUCUGGCUGCCUUAUCUCAGCUGAGUCAAACACAGAGAUGCUGGCAGGGAGGAGCUCUUGUUGCACUGUCUGACCUUCCUGGAGCACUCUGCCCUAUGGCUGUGUGCUCCAGCUUAACCCCCUGUGAAAUCAGGGGCUCAGCCACCCCUGAACUCUCUGUCUGCAGCACAGACUGCCCAGCCUGUCACCAUGGUGUCCCUCACAUUGCCACGUGCUGCUGAGGGAGACCUGGAGCCCAGACUGUGGCACCACUCCACUCCCACCUCCACCCAUCACACAACCUUCGGACCCAAGUUGGUUGCUUCACUGGAUGAGAAUGGAUGAGUGUCCUCUCCCUCCCUGGGUCUGAAGAUUUCCUGCUGUCUGUGCAGCAGCCAGGACGGGGCUUUCUGAGAAGCGGGGCCCCAUCUCCAGGCUGGAUCGGGGGCAAUGACCAGCCGAGAUCCCUCACACAUCCACCUUUCCCCUAGGAGGAAAUAUGGAUGAGUCUUGCGAGGAACUGUGGAGGAGUGAAGGCAGGAGAACCAGUUCCCCUGCACUGUCCCUGAGCAAACAGCCUGCCUGGUGCCGGGGGCUGGCAGGGCUGGGGCAGGGCUGCAGUGGGCACAUGGCUCUGGGAAGGUACAGGGCAGGGCAGAGGCUUUGCUGGGAGUGGGAACGCUGUCUGUAAACAGCUCAGAUAGAAAAUCUUGAGGCAAGUCACAGGGAAGGGCUUAGUGAUCUUGUUGACACAACUCUCCUCGCAGAUACAUCUGGAACAGGAGAGAGUGGGGUGCAGGGGUGAACUGGAGGCCACGUGCAGUAGAUCCCUUCCCAAACCUGCAUCAUGUCCUUAGCGUGCAGUUUUGCUUCCUUUCUUAGUGCCUCCUUUCUUAGUAGGCUUGCUUCCACCCUGGAUAAUCAAAUCAGAUAAUUAACUCUAGGUUGAGCACCAGCCCCAUCUCUUCUCAGGAGGCACAAGGCUGGUUCCCCCAACGUCUGCCCAUGUGCACUUUCUCAUGGGUGUCACUGUCCCAGCUGGGCUCUGGGAGGCGAUAGCAGCCCUGACUCCAUGCCAGAGAGUGAUGCCACUUGAGGGAGUGGUCUAUAAAAGCAUGGGCAGGGGCUGCACACUUAGCCGUGGGUGCUGAGUCCUGAUUCUGGUGAGCCCCGGCCCUGUUUGCCAUCAGGGAUGUGCUGUGAUGGAGUGGAAAGUGGUGUUUGCUCGUAACUUCAAAAGUGACCCAACAGCCCCAUUCUUCCAACUGUAGACUGACAAAUCUGCUUUUAGCAGGAGGCACGGCCAGAGUACAUGCACACACCUAUUUGAUCUGCUCUUGAGGGCCAUGUCUUUGUCCCCAGGCCUUCACGUGACUCUGAGACCCAGAAGGAAGUCACGGAUCAGCAGGAGGCUCUGUGCAGCCCAGCACCUGCCCACAGCUGCUACGUGUGUGCAGGCAGUGCCAGUGCCUGGUGCCCUUAUUCCAGCAGGACUGCUGGAGCUGGAGACAUUCAGAACUGCCCAAGGGAUGUGCGCCCCCAUACUCCUACAGUUCUUGGAGGGUAAACAGCACGUCAGACCUUUCCUCCCUGUGCUCUUUCCACACGUGCCCUGAUGGCUCUGACUGCACAGCCCCACACAUAGCCCACAGACCGGCUCACAACCGAAGUCCUGUUCUCUGGGCUUCCCUCCCACUGGCCACUACUUUUUCCACAACCCAAGCCCUGAAUUAGCCAAAGCCGAACAAGAGCAUCAUAACAUCGAGAUCUCCUUGCAGAGCUGCUCUGUGCAAUCAGGAGGGCCAUAGGGAAGAGGUAGAAGGUGGAACAGUGACGUGGUGGAGGUUUCCCUCUGCAAGGCUGGAGGCUGCAGGAGAUCAGGAAGCCCCUGUGCUCUGGGAGGUGCCUGUGUUCUCUGAUCACUUUGUGCCAGUGCUCCCAGCAGUUUGGAGCUGAGCCACCAGGGCUGCAAUUUGCUGUCAUCUACACAGAGGUAUGACACAUCCUCUGCACAGGAGCUUAUUGAACACAAAACAAAGCUUAAUUAUGGGAAUACAGGAUGAGCUGGGAAGCCCAUCAGCACAUCAUAGAAUUCCCACUCCUGACACCCAUGUGUUGUCUCUACCUCCUGCACACACAGUAAACCAGUGAGCUCCUUUCUGA
This is a long non-coding RNA of Centrocercus urophasianus (Greater sage-grouse), 3165 nucleotides long. RefSeq lists it as uncharacterized. Lineage: Eukaryota; Metazoa; Chordata; Aves; Galliformes; Phasianidae. The record is from RefSeq and is a predicted model, not a curated record. The transcript has 2 exons.